Molecule: non-coding RNA, 622 nt
Organism: Doryrhamphus excisus (bluestripe pipefish)
Lineage: Eukaryota; Metazoa; Chordata; Actinopteri; Syngnathiformes; Syngnathidae
Source: RefSeq, a predicted model, not a curated record
CCGUGAGCCCUCACCGUGGACCCGUCAUUUUCCACUCGGGAGUGGGCGACUCACAAUGGCUGAAAUAAUCACAAUGUACAAUAUAGCGAUGUCUGGUUAUGCGGUUGCUGAAGGCUUGACAAUCCGAAGAUGAGUCGUCGAGCCUCGGUGACAGACGUCCGCGGAGCUCCCCUUCGUCACACGAUGCCCGCCGACGUCGCUUUACUGUUGUCUACUCAGUAGACUACUCGAUUCCGGGCUCCGCGACCUUCCAUUCAUGGGGCUCGUCAUCGUCAGCAAGAGCCUGGCCGAGAAAAACAGUUGCUUGGUUCACCACCAGGGGGCGGCAGAGACCCGCAUAUUGCAACCAAUCAAACAGCGGUGCUGCUACGAUGCUGCGUUCAGGCGCUCAGCCUUGCGGUCGGUGUUUCUACAUUUCAAUUUUUAUCUCUCCUGACAACUUGGCGUUCUCCGAAGCGUUGUCUGAGUCAUUAAGGUGUUCGUUGGCUAACCUCAGAUCGGCCUGAAGACGGGAUCAAAGACAGUACUCAGUACUUUACUCAAUCAUUCAUUUAUAACUUCUUAUAAACGUUUUAUUGUGGGUGUUUGUUAUGUCUCACUGUUAAAUAAACAUACCACGAAC